Molecule: ribosomal RNA, 253 nt
Filed under: uncultured bacterium
Lineage: Bacteria
Description: partial 16S ribosomal RNA
Rfam family: Bacterial small subunit ribosomal RNA
Source: RNAcentral
UACGGGGGGAGCAAGCGUUGUUCGGAUUUACUGGGCGUAAAGGGCGCGUAGGCGGCGCAACAAGUCACUUGUGAAAUCUCCGGGCUUAACUCGGAGCGGCCAAGUGAUACUGUCGUGCUAGAGUGCGGAAGGGGCUACUGGAAUUCUCGGUGUAGCGGUGAAAUGCGUAGAUAUCAGGAGGAACACCGGUGGCGAAGGCGGAUCUCUGGGCCGUAACUGACGCUGAGGAGCGAAAGCAUGGGGAGCGAACAGG